RNAcentral lists this transfer RNA (21 nucleotides) under Opuntia sp. Martinez-Gonzalez 7. RNAcentral describes it as "partial tRNA-Phe". The record is from RNAcentral. Lineage: Eukaryota; Viridiplantae; Streptophyta; Magnoliopsida; Caryophyllales; Cactaceae.
GUAGAGCAGAGGACUGAAAAU